CAACAAAUGCCCUGCUUCCAGGAAAAGCCUCUAAGCAUCAGGUAACAUCAAAUCGUACCCCAAACCGACACAGGUGGUCAGGUAGAGAAUACCAAGGCGCUUGAGAGAACUCGGGUGAAGGAACUAGGCAAAAUGGUGCCGUAACUUCGGGAGAAGGCACGCUGACACGUAGGUGAAGUGAUUUACUCACGGAGCUGAAGUCAGUCGAAGAUACCAGCUGGCUGCAACUGUUUAUUAAAAACACAGCACUGUGCAAACACGAAAGUGGACGUAUACGGUGUGACGCCUGCCCGGUGCCGGAAGGUUAAUUGAUGGGGUCAGCGCAAGCGAAGCUCCUGAUCGAAGCCCCGGUAAACGGCGGCCGUAACUAUAACGGUCCUAAGGUAGCGAAAUUCCUUGUCGGGUAAGUUCCGACCUGCACGAAUGGCGUAAUGAUGGCCAGGCUGUCUCCACCCGAGACUCAGUGAAAUUGAACUCGCUGUGAAGAUGCAGUGUACCCGCGGCAAGACGGAAAGACCCCGUGAACCUUUACUAUAGCUUGACACUGAACAUUGAGCCUUGAUGUGUAGGAUAGGUGGGAGGCUUUGAAGUGUGGACGCCAGUCUGCAUGGAGCCGACCUUGAAAUACCACCCUUUAAUGUUUGAUGUUCUAACGUGGACCCGUAAUCCGGGUUGCGGACAGUGUCUGGUGGGUAGUUUGACUGGGGCGGUCUCCUCCUAAAGAGUAACGGAGGAGCACGAAGGUUGGCUAAUCCUGGUCGGACAUCAGGAGGUUAGUGCAAUGGCAUAAGCCAGCUUGACUGCGAGCGUGACGGCGCGAGCAGGUGCGAAAGCAGGUCAUAGUGAUCCGGUGGUUCUGAAUGGAAGGGCCAUCGCUCAACGGAUAAAAGGUACUCCGGGGAUAACAGGCUGAUACCGCCCAAGAGUUCAUAUCGACGGCGGUGUUUGGCACCUCGAUGUCGGCUCAUCACAUCCUGGGGCUGAAGUAGGUCCCAAGGGUAUGGCUGUUCGCCAUUUAAAGUGGUACGCGAGCUGGGUUUAGAACGUCGUGAGACAGUUCGGUCCCUAUCUGCCGUGGGCGCUGGAGAACUGAGGGGGGCUGCUCCUAGUACGAGAGGACCGGAGUGGACGCAUCACUGGUGUUCGGGUUGUCAUGCCAAUGGCACUGCCCGGUAGCUAAAUGCGGAAGAGAUAAGUGCUGAAAGCAUCUAAGCACGAAACUUGCCCCGAGAUGAGUUCUCCCUGAGACUUAGAGUCUCCUGAAGGAACGUUGAAGACGACGACGUUGAUAGGCCGGGUGUGUAAGCGCAGCGAUGCGUUGAGCUAACCGGUACUAAUGAACCGUGAGGCUUAACCUUACAACGCCGAAG
This 1370-nucleotide ribosomal RNA is filed under the name Salmonella enterica. RNAcentral describes it as "partial 23S ribosomal RNA". It matches the Rfam family "Bacterial large subunit ribosomal RNA", at positions 1591 to 2925 of the family's 2925-position model. Lineage: Bacteria; Pseudomonadati; Pseudomonadota; Gammaproteobacteria; Enterobacterales; Enterobacteriaceae. The record is from RNAcentral.